Molecule: non-coding RNA, 288 nt
Organism: Cinara cedri
Lineage: Eukaryota; Metazoa; Arthropoda; Insecta; Hemiptera; Aphididae
Source: the annotation of a GenBank genome assembly
UGUAAUGAAUUUUGCCAAGCGCAUUGAGCGGCUUUGAUACAUAAUAAAGUAAUUCAAAAUAUCAUUCCCCUCUAAAGUCAUGGACAAUAUUCGCCUUUGGGUUACAAAUUUACACGAUGACCACGAUUUUACCUAUAUUGAUUCAAUACAUUUCGGUGUUUAUUAUCAACUUCCGUUAUAGCUAUCUCGUUACUUAACAAUGAUUUAUCGUUGCUUAUUAUAUAAAUUUAUAAAUUAAAUUACUCUAUAAUAUUGUUUCGAAAUUUCCACUUAAUACCUUAAUCAACU